AUGGACGCCAAGCCGAACAGCAUUGGGCCCUGCUUCCCCUAUAGGCGCGGCCCCUGUUCAUCUCCAGUAGCGCCCUGCCUCUCCUUCAGUGUGCGUGGCUGUCGCCUUGGAGACCCGUGCCCUGCGUUGCCCAUGGUCGGAACCGCGCCUCCGCCCGCCGCCAUCUUCUUCUCGGAGGUCCGCCGUCGCCGCAAGUCCGCCGCUGUUUCUGCUCUGUCUCAGUUUGAGCGGGAGGACGAGCAUCAGCCCCUGUCCCCUCGCUCGUUGACCGCAGCUCCCCAUCACGCCAUGGGCCACUUCUUGCGCCAAGGCCCAGCGCUGCCAGCUCCUCCGGCCCAGCUCCCACGGCUCCAGCCAGCAGCAUCUCCACCGAUUGGGCCAUGGCCCAUGUUCUGGUAA
Molecule: ribosomal RNA, 399 nt
Filed under: Triticum aestivum (bread wheat)
Lineage: Eukaryota; Viridiplantae; Streptophyta; Magnoliopsida; Poales; Poaceae
Description: partial small subunit ribosomal RNA
Source: RNAcentral